Molecule: ribosomal RNA, 527 nt
Filed under: uncultured bacterium
Lineage: Bacteria
Description: partial 16S ribosomal RNA
Rfam family: Bacterial small subunit ribosomal RNA
Source: RNAcentral
UGGGGAAUAUUGCACAAUGGGCGCAAGCCUGAUGCAGCCAUGCCGCGUGUGUGAAGAAGGCCUCGGGUUGUAAAGCACUUUCAGCGAGGAGGAAGGUGGUGAACUUAAUACGUUCAUCAAUUGACGUUACUCGCAGAAGAAGCACCGGCUAACUCCGUGCCAGCAGCCGCGGUAAUACGGAGGGUGCAAGCGUUAAUCGGAAUUACUGGGCGUAAAGCGCACGCAGGCGGUUUGUUAAGUCAGAUGUGAAAUCCCCGGGCUCAACCUGGGAACUGCAUUUGAAACUGGCAAGCUAGAGUCUCGUAGAGGGGGGUAGAAUUCCAGGUGUAGCGGUGAAAUGCGUAGAGAUCUGGAGGAAUACCGGUGGCGAAGGCGGCCCCCCUGGACGAAGACUGACGCUCAGGUGCGAAAGCGUGGGGAGCAAACAGGAUUAGNUACCCUGGUAGUCACGCUGUAAACGAUGUCGAUUUUGGAGGUUGUGCCCCUUGAGGCGUGGNUUCCGGAGCUAACGCGUUAAAUCGACCGCC